RNAcentral lists this long non-coding RNA (210 nucleotides) under Elaeis guineensis (African oil palm). Its description in RNAcentral is "long non-coding RNA (EGUI_LNC054110)". Lineage: Eukaryota; Viridiplantae; Streptophyta; Magnoliopsida; Arecales; Arecaceae. The record is from RNAcentral.
GGGUACUCCUUCUAGAUCUUGUACAUAUUUUCUUAGAUGAUUCUAGGGCUCAGAUUUGGUCUCCAAGUUGCCCAAAUCUGAAGAGAGCAUGGUCAAACCUCGAACCCAUCCAGCGACCCGAUCUAGUUUGCACCUUGAUCCAUGCUCAGUCCAUCUCUGAUUCGAGGAGCCGUGACACCACUUUGGCCAAAGACUUUCAGAAUCACCAUC